CAAACCUAAAUGAAAAAUUGAAAAAGAGAACAGUUAAAAGUAUUAUUUAAAAAACAAACUCCAUCAUGGAAUAUUGCAUCAUUCACUCGUGUGUGUGUGUUAUGAUUUAUUCCAGA
Python bivittatus (Burmese python) is the source of this 116-nucleotide non-coding RNA. Lineage: Eukaryota; Metazoa; Chordata; Lepidosauria; Squamata; Pythonidae. The record is from RefSeq and is a predicted model, not a curated record.